RNAcentral lists this ribosomal RNA (387 nucleotides) under uncultured bacterium. RNAcentral describes it as "bacterial SSU rRNA". It matches the Rfam family "Bacterial small subunit ribosomal RNA", at positions 29 to 417 of the family's 1533-position model. The record is from RNAcentral.
AUUGAACGCUGGCGGAAUGCUUUACACAUGCAAGUCGAGCGGCAGCGCGGGGGCAACCCUGGCGGCGAGCGGCGAACGGGUGAGUAAUGCAUCGGAACGUACCCAGUCGUGGGGGAUAACGUGGCGAAAGUCACGCUAAUACCGCAUACGUCCUGAGGGAGAAAGCAGGGGAUCGCAAGACCUUGCGCGAUUGGAGCGGCCGAUGUCUGAUUAGCUAGUUGGUGGGGUAAAGGCCUACCAAGGCGACGAUCAGUAGCUGGUCUGAGAGGACGAUCAGCCACACUGGGACUGAGACACGGCCCAGACUCCUACGGGAGGCAGCAGUGGGGAAUUUUGGACAAUGGGCGCAAGCCUGAUCCAGCCAUGCCGCGUGAGUGAAGAAGGCCU